RNAcentral lists this unclassified non-coding RNA (332 nucleotides) under soil metagenome. RNAcentral describes it as "partial contains 5.8S ribosomal RNA, internal transcribed spacer 2, and large subunit ribosomal RNA". The stretch from base 1 to 120 matches the Rfam family "5.8S ribosomal RNA", at positions 35 to 154 of the family's 154-position model. The record is from RNAcentral.
GAUGAAGAACGUAGCAAAAUGCGAUAAGUAAUGUGAAUUGCAGAAUUCAGUGAAUCAUCGAAUCUUUGAACGCACAUUGCGCCCGCCAGUAUCCUGGCGGGCAUGCCUGUUCGAGCGUCAUUUCAACCCUCAAGCACAGCUUGGUGUUGGGACUCGCGUUAAUUCGCGUUCCCCAAAUUGAUUGGCGGUCACGUCGAGCUUCCAUAGCGUAGUAGUAAAACCCUCGUUACUGGUAAUCGUCGCGGCCACGCCGUUAAACCCCAACUUCUGAAUGUUGACCUCGGAUCAGGUAGGAAUACCCGCUGAACUUAAGCAUAUCAAUAAGCGGAGGA